CAUUCUCACUUUGUGAUUAGAGAGAUACCCUUCCAGGGCCACCCACGCCCAACUAACACCACACGCCAUCCCCUACAUAGAGUGUGAUGUGUGUGUGUCCCACAUUCAGCUUAAAAUCAUACUUCACAAAACCACAUUUAAUUCCACACAGUGUGCUCUCAGGCUUUAAAUGAAUGUGUAAUCACGUAGCUAGCUGUCGAGUCCAACUGGGAAACAAGACUGGGUUACGCUGAUCCAGGAUGUAGGGAACAGGGAACAGAACAAGCUGGUGAGUGACCUUACUUCCUGUCUGGUGUGACUCUUCAGAACUCCUGCUCCCAGACCCACCAAAGUGCCAACUGCCAACUCACACAGUCCCUCCAGCUUUAAUGUUUGUUUUAUUUAACCCUAAAAUUACUAAGGUAAGUUGACUGAGAAGAGAAUACAUUCUGAUUCACAGCACAGAAGAGGAGGAGAAAUAAGAGGAGAGGGGUUGGAUGAGCCAAUUGGAAGGUGAGAAUAAUUAGGUGAUGGUCAUGAUAGUAUGAGGGCCAGGUUGAGAAUUUAGCCUGGAAACCAAGGUUAACACCCAUACUGCUACAUGUUAUUUAUUUAGCCUGGACACCAGGGUUAACACCCAUACUACUACAUGUUGUUUAGCCUGGACACCAGGGUUAUCACCCAUACUACUACAUGUUGUUUAUUUAGCCAGGACACCAGGGUUAACACCCAUACUACUACAUGUUGUUUAUUUAGCCUGGACACCAGGGUUAACACCCAUACUACUACAUGUUGUUUAUUUAGCCAGGACACCAGGGUUAACACCAAUACGACUACAUGUUGUUUAUUUAGCCUGGACACCAGGGUUAUCACCCAUACUACUACAUGUUGUUUAUUUAGCCAGGACACCAGGGUUAACACCCAUACUACACAUGUUGUUUAGCCUGGACACCAGGGUUAUCACCCAUACUACUACAUGUUGUUUAUUUAGCCUGGACACCAGGGUUAUCACCCAUACUACUACAUGUUGUUUAUUUAGCCAGGACACCAGGGUUAUCACCCAUACUACUACAUGUUGUUUAUUUAGCCUGGACACCAGGGUUAUCACCCAUACUACUACAUGUUGUUUAUUUAGCCUGGACACCAGGGUUAUCACCCAUACUACUACAUGUUGUUUAUUUAGCCUGGACACCAGGGUUAACACCCAUACUACACAUGUUGUUUAGCCUGGACACCAGGGUUAUCACCCAUACUACUACAUGUUGUUUAUUUAGCCUGGAUACCAGGGUUAACACCCAUACUUACUGUGACUCGGUUUGACAUCUUAUUCUUAGGGCAACACCGUUUGAAGGGUGUAAGUCCAUGACUAUCCAGCCACCACCCUCUAACCUCCCCCACCGUUCCCUCCUUCUUUCCCUCCCUUUCUCUUCCCAUUGUCUCAAGGAGAAAGUGAGGCCUGCCUUGUUUCAGAAACAGUCAGACAAGUGUCAACGUCUCCUGUGGAUCACAUUGCAUGUGGAGCGCAGCCAUGUGUCUUUUGCUAGUCUUCUUGGUUUUGACCACUGCCUGACUCUGGACUACUUUCCUUCCUGCCUGCCUGAUCAUCCUGCCUGUCCUGACCUUGAAUCUGCCUGCCCUUCGGUACCUAUUGGACUCUGAACUGGUUUUGACCUUUUGCCUGUCCACAACCAUUCUCUUGCCUACCC
This 1685-nucleotide long non-coding RNA is filed under the name Salmo salar (Atlantic salmon). Its description in RNAcentral is "lncRNA (ENSSSAG00000090065.1)". The record is from RNAcentral. Lineage: Eukaryota; Metazoa; Chordata; Actinopteri; Salmoniformes; Salmonidae.